GCCCUCAUUUGUUUAGCAUAUUGUACAAAGUAGUUCAUAUAAGGCAAAACCAAGAAUUAGUUACACAUGAAUUUGAUCAGAUUCUAAAGGUCUUUGCACUUGUUAUUUGGAAUUUAAAUUCGUUGUUCUCUUUGAUCCCCUGAAUACUUCAUUUUUUUUGAGAUUUCGACAAGUUUCUUUCUUUGUUCUUUCAUCUCGGCUAAUUAAUGAGAAGGAUCCCAUGAUAGCUCUGUAUAUUGCAUUGAACUACAUCUUCGCUCUUUCCUUUCAUGAGUGUUGACACGUAAUAAAUCUAUUUGAAGUCGAGGACAUUAGAUAAGAAUUUAUUCACCGGCUCAAUGCAUGCUAAGCGUGUUUACG
RNAcentral lists this unclassified non-coding RNA (360 nucleotides) under Hevea brasiliensis (rubber tree). The record is from RNAcentral. Lineage: Eukaryota; Viridiplantae; Streptophyta; Magnoliopsida; Malpighiales; Euphorbiaceae.